CCUACGGGAGGCAGCAGUGGGGAAUAUUGGGCAAUGGGCGAAAGCCUGACCCAGCGACGCCGCGUGGGGGAUGAAGGCCUUCGGGUCGUAAACCCUUGUCAGGGGGGACGAUGGGUAUGUGAGCUAAUACCUCAUAUACUUGACGGUACCUCCAAAGGAAGCCCCGGCUAACUCCGUGCCAGCAGCCG
This 188-nucleotide ribosomal RNA is filed under the name uncultured Thermoanaerobacteraceae bacterium. RNAcentral describes it as "partial 16S ribosomal RNA". It matches the Rfam family "Bacterial small subunit ribosomal RNA", at positions 338 to 517 of the family's 1533-position model. The record is from RNAcentral. Lineage: Bacteria; Bacillati; Bacillota; Clostridia; Thermoanaerobacterales; Thermoanaerobacteraceae.